GCCUAAGUGGCUCAGUUGGUUGAGCGUCUGACUUCGGCUCAGGUCAUGAUCUUACAGUUUGUGGGUUCAAGCCCUGCAUCAGGCU
This 85-nucleotide transfer RNA is filed under the name Felis catus (domestic cat). It matches the Rfam family "tRNA". Rfam says of the family: Transfer RNA (tRNA) molecules are approximately 80 nucleotides in length. Lineage: Eukaryota; Metazoa; Chordata; Mammalia; Carnivora; Felidae. The record is from Rfam by way of RNAcentral.